GAACGCUAGCUACAGGCUUAACACAUGCAAGUCUAGGGGCAGCAUGGUCUUAGCUUGCUAAGGCCGAUGGCGACCGGCGCACGGGUGAGUAACACGUAUCCAACCUGCCGUCUACUCUUGGACAGCCUUCUGAAAGGAAGAUUAAUACAAGAUGGCAUCAUGAGUCCGCAUGUUCACAUGAUUAAAGGUAUUCCGGUAGACGAUGGGGAUGCGUUCCAUUAGAUAGUAGGCGGGGUAACGGCCCACCUAGUCUUCGAUGGAUAGGGGUUCUGAGAGGAAGGUCCCCCACAUUGGAACUGAGACACGGUCCAAACUCCUACGGGAGGCAGCAGUGAGGAAUAUUGGUCAAUGGGCGAGAGCCUGAACCAGCCAAGUAGCGUGAAGGAUGACUGCCCUAUGGGUUGUAAACUUCUUUUAUAAAGGAAUAAAGUCGGGUAUGCAUACCCGUUUGCAUGUACUUUAUGAAUAAGGAUCGGCUAACUCCGUGCCAGCAGCCGCGGUAAUACGGAGGAUCCGAGCGUUAUCCGGAUUUAUUGGGUUUAAAGGGAGCGUAGAUGGAUGUUUAAGUCAGUUGUGAAAGUUUGCGGCUCAACCGUAAAAUUGCAGUUGAUACUGGAUAUCUUGAGUGCAGUUGAGGCAGGCGGAAUUCGUGGUGUAGCGGUGAAAUGCUUAGAUAUCACGAAGAACUCCGAUUGCGAAGGCAGCCUGCUAAGCUGCAACUGACAUUGAGGCUCGAAAGUGUGGGUAUCAAACAGGAUUAGAUACCCUGGUAGUCCACACGGUAAACGAUGAAUACUCGCUGUUUGCGAUAUACAGCAAGCGGCCAAGCGAAAGCGUUAAGUAUUCCACCUGGGGAGUACGCCGGCAACGGUGAAACUCAAAGGAAUUGACGGGGGCCCGCACAAGCGGAGGAACAUGUGGUUUAAUUCGAUGAUACGCGAGGAACCUUACCCGGGCUUAAAUUGCAGAUGAAUUACGGUGAAAGCCGUAAGCCGCAAGGCAUCUGUGAAGGUGCUGCAUGGUUGUCGUCAGCUCGUGCCGUGAGGUGUCGGCUUAAGUGCCAUAACGAGCGCAACCCUUGUUGUCAGUUACUAACAGGUUCCGCUGAGGACUCUGACAAGACUGCCAUCGUAAGAUGUGAGGAAGGUGGGGAUGACGUCAAAUCAGCACGGCCCUUACGUCCGGGGCUACACACGUGUUACAAUGGGGGGGUACAGAGGGCCGCUACCACGCGAGUGGAUGCCAAUCCCAAAAACCUCUCUCAGUUCGGACUGGAGUCUGCAACCCGACUCCACGAAGCUGGAUUCGCUAGUAAUCGCGCAUCAGCCACGGCGCGGUGAAUACGUUCCCGGGCCUUGUACACACCGCCCGUCAAGCCAUGGGAGCCGGGGGUACCUGAAGUGCGUAACCGCGAGGAGCGCCCUAGGGUAAAACUGGUGACUGGGGCUA
Molecule: ribosomal RNA, 1449 nt
Filed under: uncultured organism
Description: SSU rRNA
Rfam family: Bacterial small subunit ribosomal RNA
Source: RNAcentral